CUUCAUCAUAUUCAAAUGCAAUAUAUAUAUAAAAAAUCACCACAGAAAAUGCAAUGCAAGUCAACAAAAACACAGGUUGGGGUGGAUCAUAAUAGUCACGUGACCUAGGGUUACAAAUUUUCAGAUCACUUUUGUUCACUGAUAAUUGAAACUAAUUCCUAAUCAUACAUUGAAUUUUAUUAGACUUAUUUGGUCAAGUUAAUGUUAAUGCUCUUGAAUUCAAUUAGGAUUUUAUAAAGCCUAUAUGUAGGCCUCCUUGGGCAAGUCUUAAGAUUACAGAAAUUGAUGAAUACAACUUGAAAUGAAAAAUUCAAAAUGAAAAGAAGAACUACUCUCCACUAGCAAGCAAAAUGCAGAAUUUUGGAAUAUAUGAAGUAGGUCUUUCUUUACGUUUUUGCACCUAAUGAUUAGAAGGGAUUCUUUGUAUGAUCUACAAUUUCAAAAGAAAAUUUAUCUUUCCCCUUAUCUCACAGCUUUGUCCUUGUUGUUUUUAUCUAAUAAGUUCACUUCGUUCAUUGUCGGUCUUUCUUCACCUUUUUAGGUCUAAUGAUUAGAAGUGUUUCUUUGUAUUAUCUACAAUUUCAAAAGAACAUUUGUCUUUCUCCCUCUCUGACAACCUUGUCAUUAUUGGUUUGUUCUAAUAACUUCAUUUGUUCACUGUGAUGCUUUAUCCAACUGCCUUAAAUGGUUUUGCAGUAAAAGGAGGUUUCAGGAGCAGCAGGCAGAAGAAUGGUGGAAAGAAAACAAAGAUAGGCUGCUGAGGAGGUACAGUCCGCCAAUAGCAAAUGCUGCUUCAGCUGGAUCAUCCUCUACUCCUGCUGAUUCAGCGUCCAGCAGUGCUGUAACAUCCAGUGCUCCAGCUGAAUCAUCCACUACUGCUGCUGAGGAUACAAGUGAGGCAGGACCAUCAGAAACGUAGUAUCAUAAUUUACUAAAAUUAGUCUCUUGGAAUAACAAUGUAGAAAGCGGAUGUAGGAUCAAGGAGCUGCCUUUUGACCCUUAAGUCAACUAUCUGCUAGUUUGUAAACAAACAAUAUUCUGCGUUCAAAAGAAAAAUUAGAGAUGAGGAUUCUGCUUGCGGAUAAGCCAGAAUGCUGCAUUACAUUGCAAGUGGAUAGACAGAUGUUGAUGAAGGUUCUUUUUUAUUAAUAUAUAUUGUGUGCUGCGAUGAGUUAAAACUGUGAUAGGUGUAGAGUAGAUAAACUUGUUAGGACCUUCCAUUUGUAAAGCUUUGAAUUUGUGACAAUGAAGCUUCCUGUAGUUAUAUCUUUUCUUUCUUAAUUUUUGUUUUUCUGUUGGAUCAAUAAAAAUACUAAAUUCCAA
RNAcentral lists this unclassified non-coding RNA (1323 nucleotides) under Hevea brasiliensis (rubber tree). The record is from RNAcentral. Lineage: Eukaryota; Viridiplantae; Streptophyta; Magnoliopsida; Malpighiales; Euphorbiaceae.